CCGUUUCACCAAAGUCUCUGCUUCCUCAUCAAGAACGACGUCCUGACAGCGGCAAACUGAAGGAAUUCCAAGGAAACAGAGUGAUCAUCCUCAGACUCACUAUAAGAUAUGGUCAGAGUGCUGACUUCAGGCAGUCCUCCCAGUGGGCCAACCCAGGAGUGCAAUCAACGAUGAUUUCUGAGCAGCUUUUUGCAAAAACAAAUUCUGUCAGAAUAACUUUCAGGGUAAGUUCAGGAAGCAAAAUGCUUUUGAACUAAUAGGUACAUGCAAUAAAAAAGAAAAAAAACAGCGCUGUGUUUUUCCC
Molecule: long non-coding RNA, 304 nt
Filed under: Coturnix japonica (Japanese quail)
Lineage: Eukaryota; Metazoa; Chordata; Aves; Galliformes; Phasianidae
Description: lncRNA (ENSCJPG00005001256.1)
Source: RNAcentral